CAGUAGCCACGGGAACACAGAGGGUGCGAGCGUUAAUCGGAUUUACUGGGCGUAAAGCGCGCGUAGGUGGUUCAUUAAGUUGGAUGUGAAAGCCCUGGGCUCAACCUGGGAACUGCAUCCAAAACUGGUGAGCUAGAGUACGGUAGAGGGUAGUGGAAUUUCCUGUGUAGCGGUGAAAUGCGUAGAUAUAGGAAGGAACACCAGUGGCGAAGGCGACUACCUGGACUGAUACUGACACUGAGGUGCGAAAGCGUAGGGAGCAAACAGGAUUAGAUACCCCGGUAGUCCCUGUCUCUUAUAC
RNAcentral lists this ribosomal RNA (301 nucleotides) under uncultured bacterium. RNAcentral describes it as "partial 16S ribosomal RNA". It matches the Rfam family "Bacterial small subunit ribosomal RNA", at positions 509 to 807 of the family's 1533-position model. The record is from RNAcentral.